ACAUGCAAGUCGAGCGAAUGAAGGGAGCUUGCUCCUGGAUUUAGCGGCGGACGGGUGAGUAAUGUAUAGGGAGCUGCCCGACAGAGGGGGAUACCAGUUGGAAACGACUGUUAAUACCGCAUAACGUCUACGGACCAAAGUAUGGGACCUUCGGGCCAUAUGCUGUCGGAUGCACCUAUAUGGGAUUAGCUAGUUGGUGGGGUAAUGGCUCACCAAGGCGACRAUCCCUAGCUGGUUUGAGAGGAUGAUCAGCCACACUGGAACUGARACACGGUCCAGACUCCUACGGGAGGCAGCAGUGGGGAAUAUUGGACAAUGGGCGCAAGCCUGAUCCAGCCAUGCCGCGUGUGUGAAGAAGGCCUUCGGGUUGUAAAGCACUUUCAGCGAGGAGGAAGGGGUUGUAGUUAAUAGCUGCAACUUUUGACGUUACUCGCAGAAGAAGCACCGGCUAACUCCGUGCCAGCAGCCGCGGUAAUACGGAGGGUGCAAGCGUUAAUCGGAAUUACUGGGCGUAAAGCGCACGUAGGCGGUGUGUUAAGUUGGAUGUGAAAGCCCCGGGCUCAACCUGGGAAUUGCAUUCAAAACUGGCACGCUAGAGUAUGUGAGAGGGGGGUAGAAUUCCAAGUGUAGCGGUGAAAUGCGUAGAGAUUUGGAGGAAUACCAGUGGCGAAGGCGGCCCCCUGGCACAAUACUGACGCUCAGGUGCKAAAGCGUGGGGAGCAAACAGGAUUAGAUACCCUGGUAGUCCACGCCGUAGACGAUGUCUACUAGCUGUUCGUGGUCUUGUACUGUGAGUAGCGCAGCUAACGCACUAAGUAGACCGCCUGGGGAGUACGGUCGCACGAUUAACACUCACAUGAAUUGACGGASGCCCGCACAAGCGGUGGAGCAUGUGGUUUAAUUC
This 904-nucleotide ribosomal RNA is filed under the name Rheinheimera sp. Its description in RNAcentral is "bacterial SSU rRNA". The record is from RNAcentral. Lineage: Bacteria; Pseudomonadati; Pseudomonadota; Gammaproteobacteria; Chromatiales; Chromatiaceae.